UACGUAGGUGGCGAGCGUUGUCCGGAUUUACUGGGCGUAAAGAGCGCGCAGGCGGUCGUCCAAGUCGCGUGUGAAAGCCCCCGGCUCAACUGGGGAGGGUCACGCGAUACUGAUCGACUCGAAGGCAGGAGAGGGAAGCGGAAUUCCUGGUGUAGCGGUGAAAUGCGCAGAUAUCAGGAAGAACACCCGUGGCGAAGGCGGCUCUCUGGGACGGUACUGACGCUGAGACGCGAAAGCGUGGGGAGCGAACAGG
This 253-nucleotide ribosomal RNA is filed under the name uncultured bacterium. RNAcentral describes it as "partial 16S ribosomal RNA". It matches the Rfam family "Bacterial small subunit ribosomal RNA", at positions 524 to 776 of the family's 1533-position model. The record is from RNAcentral.